CAUUAGAUGGCUGAAAAUUAAGCAAUGGUCUCUUAAACCAAUAUAUAGUAAAUAAUUACUUCUAAUGA
Molecule: transfer RNA, 68 nt
Filed under: Euparatettix tridentatus
Lineage: Eukaryota; Metazoa; Arthropoda; Insecta; Orthoptera; Tetrigidae
Description: tRNA-Lys
Source: RNAcentral